This 253-nucleotide ribosomal RNA is filed under the name uncultured bacterium. RNAcentral's name for it is "partial 16S ribosomal RNA". It matches the Rfam family "Bacterial small subunit ribosomal RNA", at positions 524 to 776 of the family's 1533-position model. The record is from RNAcentral.
UACGGAGGGUGCAAGCGUUGCUCGGAAUCACUGGGCGUAAAGCGCACGCAGGCGGGACAGCAAGUCAGUUGUGAAAGCCCGGGGCUCAACCCCGGAAUUGCGAUUGAAACUGCUGCCCUUGAGUACGGGAGAGGGAGGCGGAAUUCCUGGUGUAGAGGUGAAAUUCGUAGAUAUCAGGAGGAACAUCAGUGGCGAAAGCGGCUUCCUGGUCCGAUACUGACGCUCAUGUGCGAAAGCGUGGGGAGCAAACAGG